This 593-nucleotide ribosomal RNA is filed under the name Synechococcus sp. ACT 9808. RNAcentral's name for it is "bacterial SSU rRNA". It matches the Rfam family "Bacterial small subunit ribosomal RNA", at positions 140 to 765 of the family's 1533-position model. Lineage: Bacteria; Bacillati; Cyanobacteriota; Cyanophyceae; Synechococcales; Synechococcaceae. The record is from RNAcentral.
GGGACAACAGUUGGAAACGGCUGCUAAUACCCGAUGUGCCGAGAGGUGAAACAUUUAUGGCCUGUAGAUGAGCUCGCGUCUGAUUAGCUAGUUGGUGGGGUAAGGGCCUACCAAGGCGACGAUCAGUAGCUGGUCUGAGAGGAUGAUCAGCCACACUGGGACUGAGACACGGCCCAGACUCCUACGGGAGGCAGCAGUGGGGAAUUUUCCGCAAUGGGCGCAAGCCUGACGGAGCAACGCCGCGUGGGGGAGGAAGGUUUUUGGACUGUAAACCCCUUUUCUCAGGGAAGAAGAAAGUGACGGUACCUGAGGAAUAAGCCUCGGCUAAUUCCGUGCCAGCAGCCGCGGUAAUACGGGAGAGGCAAGCGUUAUCCGGAAUUAUUGGGCGUAAAGCGUCCGCAGGCGGUUAAUCAAGUCUGUUGUCAAAGCGUGGGGCUCAACCUCAUAAAGGCAAUGGAAACUGAUUGACUAGAGUAUGGUAGGGGUAGCGGGAAUUCCAGGUGUAGCGGUGAAAUGCGUAGAUAUCUGGAAGAACACCAGCGGCGAAAGCGCGCUACUGGGCCAUAACUGACGCUCAUGGACGAAAGCUAGGG